AGGCAAUGACCGACCGCACGACACCACCUGCGUCCUUCUACUCCGAGCCUCGCACUUGAGAGGUUUGUUCCUCCUGAAGUGUGCAAAAAGUACAAACUGAUCUACAGUCCACAACGGACUCAAACCGGAGCACCCCUCAAAUACCAUGGAUUGCCCAACUGCUCCUAAAGGAACAUGUCCCAUCAAAGGCCAUGGACUGCACUUGGAAUGGAAGAGGAUGUCUUGAGAUGUCCAAAAACUUAGAUGCUUGGAUGACAUGACAUGACAUGAAAGGGUGAAGGCUGCCAAGAUAGCCUGGUAUCCUCCCCCCCCCCCCAUACAGAGGGGUUAGACAAGAUACGUGGCACUUGAACCUUGUAAGGGUGAAGGCUGCCAAGAUAGCCUGGUAACCCCCCCCCCCUUAGAGGGGUUAGAGAAGAUGCGUGGCACUUGAAUCUUGCAAGGUUUGCAGCAGCUGUGUGUACGGGUGACUUUCCUUAAAGUUCGAGAUGGUCACAUGAUUUACAAGGAGGCAGCUAAACCUUUUGUCUGACUGAAAUGGCACUUGAGAUGAGGCAAGUAUAUUGUAUGAAUUAAGUCAAAAUAGCAUAUUGCACACCAGCUCCAGCUUCUCCCUUUGGCAAGCUAGGCGUUUCUCGUGCAUAGAAUAAAAUGUGUAGGGGUUUAUGUAGCCUUCAAAAUGUGGCUGGAAUUCUUGCAGGGUUGCAAGAGCUUGUGUAGAGCUUCUGCAGGUUUCAACUACGGCUGCAAGAUGCGUUAUGAGUGCAUUCGACCACCAAAUAAAAAAAAAUUAA
Penaeus chinensis is the source of this 794-nucleotide long non-coding RNA. RefSeq lists it as uncharacterized. The record is from RefSeq and is a predicted model, not a curated record. Lineage: Eukaryota; Metazoa; Arthropoda; Malacostraca; Decapoda; Penaeidae. The transcript has 8 exons.